RNAcentral lists this long non-coding RNA (767 nucleotides) under Lactuca sativa (garden lettuce). Its description in RNAcentral is "long non-coding RNA (LSAT_LNC001426)". Lineage: Eukaryota; Viridiplantae; Streptophyta; Magnoliopsida; Asterales; Asteraceae. The record is from RNAcentral.
UGAAAGAAUACAAGGUUCUAUGCAUUAUUCCAAGCCAUAUGGGGGGAGUGAGGGCAUCAUUUGACCUCCUUAAGGGAGUUUACAGCCAAGGGACCAAUCCUUGGGGUGUUUACGGUCGUAAUCUCCUAAGGUCAUGGUUUCCUUGGUGUUUAAGGUUCCUACUUCGAUGGUGGUACUUAGUUCAUGAUUAAGGUCUUAAAUGAAAGAAUACAAGGUUCUAUGCAUUAUUCCAAGCCAUAUGGGGGGAGUGAGGGCAUCAUUUGACCUCCUUAAGGGAGUUUACAGCCAAGGGACCAAUCCUUGGGGUGUUUACGGUCGUAAUCUCCUAAGGUCAUGGUUUCCUUGGUGUUUAAGGUUCCUACUUCGAUGGUGGUUGAUUCUAGGCAUUACCUCAAGCCAUAGGAGGUGUUUAAGGGGCAAUUUAACACCUGAAAUGGUGUUCACGGCCUAUGAAACAUGUGAUCGACCUGUAUCCUGUUACCGACUCUAGUAAAAAGAUGAUGUAAGACGCCGUAAGAAAUGAAAUUUGGCACUCGUAGACUUGCAAGUCCCAUUAUAGCGAGCAGCAAGGUGUAGGAUAGUCAAUCCAGUAUAGAUCUAUACGCAAACUCAUACGCUCCCCAAUUAAGGAGAUUUGGGAUACAAAAACGGUCAUGGCAGGAAGUGCCAUGACCCGCUUAAUGGUUCACAUAACUGCAUAAAUGUACACGUAAUGAAUGUGCUAACUGAAAAGUGUACUCUUUCUUUGUUUAGCCUGUAUGUACUGA